This 254-nucleotide ribosomal RNA is filed under the name uncultured bacterium. RNAcentral describes it as "partial 16S ribosomal RNA". It matches the Rfam family "Bacterial small subunit ribosomal RNA", at positions 524 to 776 of the family's 1533-position model. The record is from RNAcentral.
CACGUAGGGUGCGAGCGUUGUCCGGAAUUAUUGGGCGUAAAGAGCUCGUAGGCGGUGCGUCGCGUCGGCCGUGAAAACCUGCAGCUUAACUGUGGGCGUGCGGUCGAUACGGGCAUCACUGGAGUUCGGCAGGGGAGACUGGAAUUCCUGGUGUAGCGGUGAAAUGCGCAGAUAUCAGGAGGAACACCGGUGGCGAAGGCGGGUCUCUGGGCCGAUACUGACGCUGAGGAGCGAAAGCGUGGGGAGCGAACAGG